UUUCUCUCUGAUCUCAGUGGCUUUUGUUUUGGUUUGGUUUUCUUUUGUUCCUGAUUUGAGAUAAGGAAACGAAUUUACAGAUUGUUUGCGCUGAUCUAACUGUAGUUGCUUUCCAUCACACACGAGAGGAAGAGAGUGAAGAAGAUGAAGACUUUCUUGCACCCAGAUCUGGCUAUGGGUUGGACCUUUAGGUCGAACAGCUUUGUCAUAGAUGCCAGUCCUAACAUCCUUUGGAAUGAUUACAAGAAACCCUAACCCUAAUUAUUGCUUUUUUGUCAUCAUUCUUCCUAAAAGGCUUACUUUCUCUUCCUCAAGAGGACAAAAGCUUAUCUGAUUGUUCUUAGGUUCGCUAUUUCGGAUGAGGAUUCUGUGCGUCUUCGAUUCAUGCUUUCGUUUUGCUGUUUCAAGGGAAGAAAGGAGGGCGAUGUCGUCGAGCUCGCCAUGCGCGGCGUGCAAGCUCUUGAGGCGUAAGUGCACGCCCGAGUGCAUAUUUGCACCACAUUUUCCGCCGGACCAGCCGGCGAAGUUCGCCAACGUGCAUCGAGUCUUCGGGGCGAGCAACGUCGCGAAGCUGCUCAAGCAACUCCGCCCAGAGCAGCGCGAGGACGCGGUGGCGUCACUGUCAUACGAGGCGGAGGCUCGGCUGCGUGACCCCGUCCACGGGUGUGUCGGCUAUAUCUACCUCCUCCAGCACAAGCUCAAGGAGGUGCAGCAUGAUCUGAGUAACGCGAAGCGGGAGCUCUCCACCUACAUUGGCCCCGUCGCGUUCGGGCCCAAUCUUCCCCAUCAGUACCAUCACCAGCUACAGGGGGUUUCUCCGUCGCCAUUCGGGAUUCGGGGGAUGGGUAUUGGAACGGGGCUGGCACUCUCGGCGCCUGCUACAUGGCCCCAGGGGCAGAUGCUGAUCAUGAGCGAGCAGCAUCAGCAUCAAAGGCCGCAAAUGCCAGAGAUGCACCAGGCCGCAGUGGAAACCCCCGUGGCUGCAAGAGAGCAGGAGAUGUUCACCAGUUACCCACAGAUCCAGGGGUAUGAUCGGAUGGCCGGUGGCGCUGCAGUUGUGGCUACAGUCUCAGCACAGCUGUUCAACAGCCCAUCUGCAGCAGAGCAGCGGCAUCCGCAACCUCAGCAAUACGCUGAGCGACUAUGGGCGAAGGCUAGGGGUGAGGGGAGGAGCGGAGCAAACCCUUCUGCUUGAAGAAAACAAAGGAGAACGACGAAACGAGCAAUGUCUUGAGACCUCUCCCACCUCGAGAUGAUCGACAUUAGGGUGUUUCAAGAGGCAGGAGAAGUCCCUAUUACAUUGUAUCUCUUCAAUGAGCCGAAAGCUAUCAUACCCUGUUGCACCGUCGAGCAUAGGAGAUGUAGGAGGAGGGAAGACUGUCGAAUGGAACAAGCAAAGUGAAUGGUGUGCAGGAUUACAGUGCAGAAGUAGCAGUCAUAAGCAGUAGUUCGCAGCGGAAAUGGAGUCAGAUAAACAUUACCUCUCUCUUCGCCUUGGUCAUCAAGAAGAUGUCAUCCUCUUGAAGCACCCCAGUUGAGUCAUUUUGCCUUCUGCAGUGUGUUGGUUCAUGUGACUGCAGUACCUUCCCUUCUGAGAUAUCAUUAAUUAUAUAUGGAUGGAUCACUUCUUCCUCCACAACCAGCUGGUAUCUUUGCUUUUCUUCUUUGCCUUCAGUUUUUCUUCUCCUUCAAUCAUUCUGGUUUGAAUCUUUUUUUGGUGUUUCAUUUAUUGUUUGCACUGGCUGCCUGAGGGAUUUGAUAGUGCUGUUUGUACUCUAUAAAGAAGCUUAUCUGGCUACACUCCUUAGGUUUCAAAUGCUAAGUUUCAUGGGUAUAAUAA
Non-coding RNA from Musa acuminata subsp. malaccensis (wild Malaysian banana), 1840 nucleotides. Lineage: Eukaryota; Viridiplantae; Streptophyta; Magnoliopsida; Zingiberales; Musaceae. The record is from RefSeq and is a predicted model, not a curated record.